RNA transcript from Ctenopharyngodon idella (grass carp), 333 nucleotides. It is a transcript of the gene named oligosaccharyltransferase complex subunit 4 (non-catalytic), with no coding region annotated. The record is from RefSeq and is a predicted model, not a curated record. The transcript is spliced from 3 exons. Lineage: Eukaryota; Metazoa; Chordata; Actinopteri; Cypriniformes; Xenocyprididae.
GUGACGUCUUCAGAGACCCGUAUGUACGUGACGUGUCUCAAUCCCGGAAUUCAGCAGCGCAGGAACUUUCGAGCUGCGAGCAGAUUCAUCAUAAACAUCACAUAACCAACACAAUAAUUCGUGAUGGUGACGGACGUACAGCUGGCUAUAUUCGCCAACAUGCUGGGCGUGUCGCUCUUCCUGCUGGUGGUUCUGUAUCACUAUGUGGCCGUGAACAACCCUAAGAAACUGGAGUGAGGUUGAGAGGAUGUGGAACGGGGAGAAUCGGAGGAUGACCCAGCCUGUAAAUGUGCGUUUUGUAUGAAAACAUGGGAAUAAAUUGUCAAAGUGCGA